RNAcentral lists this ribosomal RNA (429 nucleotides) under Actinomycetes bacterium. Its description in RNAcentral is "Actinobacteria bacterium partial 16S ribosomal RNA". It matches the Rfam family "Bacterial small subunit ribosomal RNA", at positions 355 to 776 of the family's 1533-position model. The record is from RNAcentral. Lineage: Bacteria; Bacillati; Actinomycetota; Actinomycetes.
UAGGUAAUCUUCCGCAAUGGGCGAAAGCCUGACGGAGCAACGCCGCGUGAGUGAUGAAGGUCUUCGGAUCGUAAAACUCUGUUAUUAGGGAAGAACAAAUGUGUAAGUAACUAUGCACGUCUUGACGGUACCUAAUCAGAAAGCCACGGCUAACUACGUGCCAGCAGCCGCGGUAAUACGUAGGUGGCAAGCGUUAUCCGGAAUUAUUGGGCGUAAAGCGCGCGUAGGCGGUUUUUUAAGUCUGAUGUGAAAGCCCACGGCUCAACCGUGGAGGGUCAUUGGAAACUGGAAAACUUGAGUGCAGAAGAGGAAAGUGGAAUUCCAUGUGUAGCGGUGAAAUGCGCAGAGAUAUGGAGGAACACCAGUGGCGAAGGCGACUUUCUGGUCUGUAACUGACGCUGAUGUGCGAAAGCGUGGGGAUCAAACAGG